Molecule: ribosomal RNA, 250 nt
Filed under: uncultured Actinomycetales bacterium
Lineage: Bacteria; Bacillati; Actinomycetota; Actinomycetes; Actinomycetales
Description: partial 16S ribosomal RNA
Rfam family: Bacterial small subunit ribosomal RNA
Source: RNAcentral
GGGGGUACACGAGUGGCGAACGGGUGAGUAACACGUGAGUAACCUGCCCUUGACUUUGGGAUAACUUCAGGAAACUGGGGCUAAUACCGGAUAGGAGCUCCUGCUGCAUGGUGGGGGUUGGAAAGUUUCGGCGGUUGGGGAUGGACUCGCGGCUUAUCAGCUUGUUGGUGGGGUAGUGGCUUACCAAGGCUUUGACGGGUAGCCGGCCUGAGAGGGUGACCGGCCACAUUGGGACUGAGAUACGGCCCAG